CAAAAGGAAAGAAAAUAGUCGAGAGACUUUUCCAACAAACAGAGGUCGUGAAUUAAGACAAAGGUCCCACUACGAAGAUCAAAGAUCAAAGAGAGACACUAUUUACAAUCAUAUCAUCUCGACGACUUGUCCUAUUUGAGCGCCACCGACGUAACACGAUCAAGCCACGGAGAAUCUCUAGGUGCUCCCGAAUUUUCCAUUUUACGAUCCGUACAUUUCUAGACCGUAGAAGCAUCUCGACAGCACCACCGAUCCAAAUCAAACCACCACAACCUAAGUCUCAAUAGGCUGGGCAAAGAUUGGAUCAACUAGCUCGAACGCGAAAGCCUACCAGUUCGCGCUCCAAUCAAUUUGACCGACCAAAGGCAACGCAAAAAACCCUCGAGCUAUCGAGCUUCCGAAACCCUAAUGACGCAGAUACGAACUGUAUGAAACACAUAUCCACUUUCAUUAAGCAAAUACAGACCUUGCAUCUGAGUUAAAAAUAGACAGAC
RNAcentral lists this long non-coding RNA (494 nucleotides) under Brassica napus (rape). RNAcentral describes it as "long non-coding RNA (BNAP_LNC024483)". The record is from RNAcentral. Lineage: Eukaryota; Viridiplantae; Streptophyta; Magnoliopsida; Brassicales; Brassicaceae.